Molecule: ribosomal RNA, 497 nt
Filed under: uncultured bacterium
Lineage: Bacteria
Description: partial 16S ribosomal RNA
Rfam family: Bacterial small subunit ribosomal RNA
Source: RNAcentral
GAUGAACGCUGGCGGCGUGCCUAAUACAUGCAAGUCGAGCGAACGGACGAGAAGCUUGCUUCUCUGAUGUUAGCGGCGGACGGGUGAGUAACACGUGGAUAACCUACCUAUAAGACUGGGAUAACUUCGGGAAACCGGAGCUAAUACCGGAUGAUAUUUUGAACCGCAUGGUUCAAAAGUGAAAGACGGUCUUGCUGUCACUUAUAGAUGGAUCCGCGCUGCAUUAGCUAGUUGGUAAGGUAACGGCUUACGAAGGCAACGAUGCAUAGCCGACCUGAGAGGGUGAUCGGCCACACUGGAACUGAGACACGGUCCAGACUCCUACGGGAGGCAGCAGUAGGGAAUCUUCCGCAAUGGGCGAAAGCCUGACGGAGCAACGCCGCGUGAGUGAUGAAGGUCUUCGGAUCGUAAAACUCUGUUAUUAGGGAAGAACAUAUGUGUAAGUAACUGUGCACAUCUUGACGGUACCUAAUCAGAAAGCCACGGCUAACUACGUG